UUGUGGAGGAGGACGCCGAAGGUGGGGCUAAUGACUGGGGUGAAGUCGUAACAAGGUAGCCGUACCGGAAGGUGCGGCUGGAUCACCUCCUAACAGGGAGACAACAAAAUGUAAAUAUUAAUUUUGUCACCUUAGGUCGAUCGGUAUCUCAGAUUCUUGAAUUUUCAAGAAUUUUAGUUUCUAAGUUUUUUCUAGGUCACACCCAUCAUUUUUCCUGGGCCAUUAGCUCAGGUGGUUAGAGCGCACCCCUGAUAAGGGUGAGGUCCCUGGUUCAAGUCCAGGAUGGCCCAUAUCUCUAUGUUGGGGGUAUAGCUCAGUUGGUAGAGCGCCUGCUUUGCAAGCAGGGUGUCAGCGGUUCGAGUCCGCUUACCUCCACUGAAUACCACCUCUUACAUAAAGUCAAUGAGGAAAAAUUUGUUGAGUUGUGUCCUUUUUCGCUCUGAGCGAAUCUAGCUUCCUAUUUUUUUCUAAAAUAAAUAAGAUGCUGGAUUCAUUGAAUCUUAUUCAUUGUUUUCAGAGAACCUUGACAACUGCAUAGAUUAUUUAAAGACAAUAAGCAUCUAUAUAAUGAUGCAGAUUUAUUAUUUGUGCUGAUGCAUUAAAUAACAAUUCUAUUAAGCUGAUGCUUCUAUUAUGAAGUUAUUGGUCAAGCUACAA
Molecule: unclassified non-coding RNA, 657 nt
Filed under: uncultured Prochlorococcus sp.
Lineage: Bacteria; Bacillati; Cyanobacteriota; Cyanophyceae; Synechococcales; Prochlorococcaceae
Description: partial 16S-23S ribosomal RNA intergenic spacer; may also contain 16S ribosomal RNA and 23S ribosomal RNA
Rfam family: Bacterial small subunit ribosomal RNA (bases 1-93)
Source: RNAcentral